Molecule: ribosomal RNA, 305 nt
Filed under: uncultured bacterium
Lineage: Bacteria
Description: bacterial SSU rRNA
Rfam family: Bacterial small subunit ribosomal RNA
Source: RNAcentral
GUGUCCUACGGGACGCAGCAGUGAGGGAUAUUGGUCAAUGAGGGGAACCCUGAACCAGCAACGCCGCGUGAGGGAAGACGGUUUUCGGGUUGUAAACUUCUUUUCUCAGGGACGAAGCAAGUGACGGUACCUGAGGAAUAAGCCACGGCUAACUACGUGCCAGCAGCCGCGGUAAUACGUAGGUGGCAAGCGUUAUCCGGAUUUACUGGGUGUAAAGGGCGUGUAGGCGGGAAAGCAAGUCAGAUGUGAAAACCAUGGGCUCAACCUGUGGCCUGCAUUUGAAACUGUUUUUCUUGAGUACUGGA